AGUAUGAGCAUGCUGGUAGCAAUGUGAUUUCAGUUCAUCUUGCAAGACUCCUGUGCUGUUUCCUGGAGAAGACAGGCUCCUGCCCUGCAAAUUGCGUUGACAUGUGCUGGUGGAGAAGAAGAACAGCUGGAGGCUAUCAUUCCUUCCUCCUUUCACCGAGACCUCCAACCUUCCUCUCGGUUUCUCACAUCUUAGCCCCGUGACUGUCUGAGUCCUCCGCCUCAAAAGAACACACAGAAGAAACAAGGUAAGAUGUGUCUUUCUUCCUAAUGCUGAGGAAGAACCAAGUGUAUAAUUCCUGAUAAUUGCAUUGUACUCUUUUUCCCGAGGGAUCUUUGAGAAGCGGGGAGGGGGCACUCUCUGCUACCAUGUAUUUGUGCAC
This 382-nucleotide long non-coding RNA is filed under the name Callithrix jacchus (white-tufted-ear marmoset). RNAcentral describes it as "lncRNA (ENSCJAG00000084565.1)". Lineage: Eukaryota; Metazoa; Chordata; Mammalia; Primates; Cebidae. The record is from RNAcentral.